This 469-nucleotide ribosomal RNA is filed under the name uncultured bacterium. RNAcentral's name for it is "partial 16S ribosomal RNA". It matches the Rfam family "Bacterial small subunit ribosomal RNA", at positions 28 to 507 of the family's 1533-position model. The record is from RNAcentral.
GACGAACGCUGGCGGCGUGCUUAACACAUGCAAGUCGAACGGAAAGGCCCUGCUUGCAGGGUGCUCGAGUGGCGAACGGGUGAGUAACACGUGGGUGAUCUGCCCCUUACUUUGGGAUAAGCCUGGGAAACUGGGUCUAAUACUGGAUAGGACCAUGCUGUAGGUGGUGGGGUGGAAAGAUUAGUUUCGGUAAGGGAUGAGCUCGCGGCCUAUCAGCUUGUUGGUGGGGUAAUGGCCUACCAAGGCGUCGACGGGUAGCCGGCCUGAGAGGGUGGACGGCCACAUUGGGACUGCGAUACGGCCCAGACUCCUACGGGAGGCAGCAGUGGGGAAUAUUGCACAAUGGGCGCAAGCCUGAUGCAGCGACGCCGCGUGGGGGAUGACGGCCUUCGGGUUGUAAACUCCUUUCAGCCAUGACGAAGCCCUUGUGGUGACGGUAGUGGUAGAAGAAGCACCGGCUAACUACGUG